GACGAACGCUGGCGGCGUGCUUAACACAUGCAAAUCGAACGGUAAGGCCCUUCGGGGUACACGAGUGGCGAACGGGUGAGUAACACGUGGGUGAUCUGCCCUGCACUUCGGGAUAAGCCUGGGAAACUGGGUCUAAUACCGGAUAGGACCACUGCCUGCAUGGGUGGUGGUGGAAAGCUUUUGCGGUGUGGGAUGGGCCCGCGGCCUAUCAGCUUGUUGGUGGGGUGUUGGCCUACCAAGGCGACGACGGGUAGCCGGCCUGAGAGGGUGACCGGCCACACUGGGACUGAGAUACGGCCCAGACUCCUACGGGAGGCAGCAGUGGGGAAUAUUGCACAAUGGGCGCAAGCCUGAUGCAGCGACGCCGCGUGAGGGAUGACGGCCUUCGGGUUGUAAACCUCUUUCAGCACCGACGAAGCGCAAGUGACGGUAGGUGCAGAAGAAGGACCGGCCAACUACGUGCCAGCAGCCGCGGUAA
Molecule: ribosomal RNA, 478 nt
Filed under: uncultured bacterium
Lineage: Bacteria
Description: partial 16S ribosomal RNA
Rfam family: Bacterial small subunit ribosomal RNA
Source: RNAcentral